Molecule: ribosomal RNA, 988 nt
Filed under: Klebsiella pneumoniae
Lineage: Bacteria; Pseudomonadati; Pseudomonadota; Gammaproteobacteria; Enterobacterales; Enterobacteriaceae
Also listed under: 1 other name
Description: partial 23S ribosomal RNA
Rfam family: Bacterial large subunit ribosomal RNA
Source: RNAcentral
GCGAAAAGAACCCCGGCGAGGGGAGUGAAAAAGAACCUGAAACCGUGUACGUACAAGCAGUGGGAGCACCUUCGGGUGUGACUGCGUACCUUUUGUAUAAUGGGUCAGCGACUUAUAUUCUGUAGCAAGGUUAACCGUAUAGGGGAGCCGCAGGGAAACCGAGUCUUAACUGGGCGUUAAGUUGCAGGGUAUAGACCCGAAACCCGGUGAUCUAGCCAUGGGCAGGUUGAAGGUUGGGUAACACUAACUGGAGGACCGAACCGACUAAUGUUGAAAAAUUAGCGGAUGACUUGUGGCUGGGGGUGAAAGGCCAAUCAAACCGGGAGAUAGCUGGUUCUCCCCGAAAGCUAUUUAGGUAGCGCCUCGUGAAUUCAUCUUCGGGGGUAGAGCACUGUUUCGGCUAGGGGGUCAUCCCGACUUACCAACCCGAUGCAAACUACGAAUACCGAAGAAUGUUAUCACGGGAGACACACGGCGGGUGCUAACGUCCGUCGUGAAGAGGGAAACAACCCAGACCGCCAGCUAAGGUCCCAAAGUCAUGGUUAAGUGGGAAACGAUGUGGGAAGGCACAGACAGCCAGGAUGUUGGCUUAGAAGCAGCCAUCAUUUAAAGAAAGCGUAAUAGCUCACUGGUCGAGUCGGCCUGCGCGGAAGAUGUAACGGGGCUAAACCAUGCACCGAAGCUGCGGCAGCGACACUAUGUGUUGUUGGGUAGGGGAGCGUUCUGUAAGCCUGCGAAGGUGACCUGUGAGGGUUGCUGGAGGUAUCAGAAGUGCGAAUGCUGACAUAAGUAACGAUAAAGCGGGUGAAAAGCCCGCUCGCCGGAAGACCAAGGGUUCCUGUCCAACGUUAAUCGGGGCAGGGUGAGUCGACCCCUAAGGCGAGGCCGAAAGGCGUAGUCGAUGGGAAACAGGUUAAUAUUCCUGUACUUGGUGUUACUGCGAAGGGGGGACGGAGAAGGCUAUGUUAGCCGGGCGACGGUUGUCCCG